Molecule: ribosomal RNA, 253 nt
Filed under: uncultured bacterium
Lineage: Bacteria
Description: partial 16S ribosomal RNA
Rfam family: Bacterial small subunit ribosomal RNA
Source: RNAcentral
UACGUAGGCAGCAAGCGUUGUUCGGAAUUACUGGGCGUAAAGAGUGUGUAGGCGGUGCUCUAAGUUUGGUGUGAAAUCUCCCGGCUUAACCGGGAGGCUGCAUCGAAUACUGGAAUGCUAGAGGGUGGGAGAGGUAAGCGGAAUUCCUGGUGUAGCGGUGAAAUGCGUAGAUAUCAGGAGGAACACCUGUGGUGUAGACAGCUUACUGGACCACUUCUGACGCUGAGACACGAAAGCGUGGGUAGCAAACAGG